RNAcentral lists this ribosomal RNA (264 nucleotides) under uncultured bacterium. RNAcentral describes it as "partial 16S ribosomal RNA". It matches the Rfam family "Bacterial small subunit ribosomal RNA", at positions 29 to 289 of the family's 1533-position model. The record is from RNAcentral.
AUGAACGCUGGCGGCGUGCUUAACACAUGCAAGUCGAACGAUUAAAGCUCACUUCGGUGAGUGUAUAGAGUGGCGAACGGGUGAGUAACACGUGGGAAACCUGCCCCUUUCUUCGGGACAACUUCGGGAAACCGUUGCUAAUACCGGAUACUCCGGGAUGGUCGCAUGGCCGACCCGGGAAAGCUUUAUGUGGAAAGGGAUGGUCCCGCGGCCCAUUAGCUUGUUGGUGGGGUAAUGGCCUACCAAGGCGAUGAUGGGUAGCCG